Molecule: non-coding RNA, 92 nt
Organism: Mycena alexandri
Lineage: Eukaryota; Fungi; Basidiomycota; Agaricomycetes; Agaricales; Mycenaceae
Source: the annotation of a GenBank genome assembly
GGCUCAGUGGUGGAUGGUCCAUCCCUGUCUUCUGUGCGGCAAUGAGAUGUUUUCCAAGCAGGAGACAGCCGGUUCGAAUCAGGCCCGAGCUA